The submitters of this non-coding RNA (50 nucleotides) gave its source as unclassified sequences. The record is from Rfam.
UGGGCUGGUCGGAAGACCCAGGUCCAACCUAAUCGGCGGGGAGGCUCCCC